Pongo pygmaeus (Bornean orangutan) is the source of this 450-nucleotide long non-coding RNA. RefSeq lists it as uncharacterized. Lineage: Eukaryota; Metazoa; Chordata; Mammalia; Primates; Hominidae. The record is from RefSeq and is a predicted model, not a curated record. The transcript is spliced from 3 exons.
UUGAACAUGAUGGAACAUAACUUUGGAUGUUAGCAGUAACAGUCUUUGGAAUCACCUGUAGCCAUGCCCCAAAACAUGAUAGCAUGUUGCAAAACCUCUAGUGCCCAUGGCCAUAAGGGAGAAAGAGCACCAGACCAUCUGAAUAACGUGAAAGUGGACACAGGAAACACCAGACACCCAGAGAAAUGGAGUCCAAAUCAUCCAUGUUAUAUGUUUGUCCUUGGGGGCUGAAGUAAGAAAAAUGAAAAGGAACUUUUCUUUACCCAUCUAUGGCACGUCACAUUCCCUCACUGAAUAUUUUGGACAUUAGAAAAGGAGAGGGAAAGAAGACUGGAGGAGAAAGGGGCAAGAUGAAAUGAUCUGCCACAUCUGAGGAGGGGACCAAAGGUAACUUCUUGCUGUCUUCGAGGCACCAUUUAACCUUUUGCAAAAUAUAAUAUGAUGCCAUCU